CACGUAGGGAGCAAGCGUUGUCCGGAUUUAUUGGGCGUAAAGAGCUCGUAGGCGGUUCCGUAAGUCAGGUGUGAAACCUCCAGGCUCAACCUGGAGACGCCACCUGAUACUGCGGUGACUGGAGUCCGGUAGGGGAGCGUGGAAUUCCUGGUGUAGUGGUGAAAUGCGUAGAGAUCCGGAGGAACACCAGUGGCGAAGGCGACACGCUGGGCCGUACCUGACACUGAACCGCGACAGCAUGGGGAGCAAACAGG
Molecule: ribosomal RNA, 254 nt
Filed under: uncultured bacterium
Lineage: Bacteria
Description: partial 16S ribosomal RNA
Rfam family: Bacterial small subunit ribosomal RNA
Source: RNAcentral